UGGGGAAUAUUGCACAAUGGGCGCAAGCCUGAUGCAGCGACGCCGCGUGAGGGAUGACGGCCUUCGGGUUGUAAACCUCUUUCAGUACAGACGAAGCGUAAGUGACGGUAUGUACAGAAGAAGCACCGGCCAACUACGUGCCAGCAGCCGCGGUAAUACGUAGGGUGCGAGCGUUGUCCGGAAUUACUGGGCGUAAAGAGCUCGUAGGUGGUUUGUCGCGUUGUUCGUGAAAACCGGGGGCUUAACCCUCGGCGUGCGGGCGAUACGGGCAGACUUGAGUACUGCAGGGGAGACUGGAAUUCCUGGUGUAGCGGUGGAAUGCGCAGAUAUCAGGAGGAACACCGGUGGCGAAGGCGGGUCUCUGGGCAGUAACUGACGCUGAGGAGCGAAAGCGUGGGGAGCGAACA
Molecule: ribosomal RNA, 407 nt
Filed under: uncultured Mycobacterium sp.
Lineage: Bacteria; Bacillati; Actinomycetota; Actinomycetes; Mycobacteriales; Mycobacteriaceae
Description: bacterial SSU rRNA
Rfam family: Bacterial small subunit ribosomal RNA
Source: RNAcentral